GAAAUGCCUGGUUGUGUGUUACCAUUUUACCACCCAUUCAGGCAGUGACAGGCUUUUGCAGCCUGAACGAGCCAAAUGUUCAGGAGGGAUGGGGGAGGUUGGUUUGUUUUGGCAAGCCCAACCCAAAACUUGUUCAGAGUUUGGUGCUUGAGAAUGUGUCUGCCUUGGCUGAUAUUUCUGUUCUGGUUGUAGUUUCAGUUGGCUCCAAAAUGUCCCUCAGCUCAGUGACAGUGAGGAGAGUGAUGACAACCAGGUUCUUGAAAAGCCUCCUUCUGCACUUGCUCCUCCAAGAUACAGCGUGCUCCUGGACGACCUGCAGCUCAGUGACAGUGAGGAGAGCGAUGACAACCAAGUCAGUUUGGGAUGUUGGACACACCAGGCACACAGACGUGCCUUGGAAUCAUCUCACCUUGUUGCAUUGUUCUGAGUUCCUUGAGCUAACCUAUCCUUCCCCUCUUCUCUUUUUUUUUUUUUUGUGACCAAAACAGGUUGUUGAAAAGCCUCCUUCUGCACUUGUUUCUCCAAGAGACAGGUUUUUUAGCAAACUUCUAGCUAGGCCAGAUAAGGAGAAAAACAAACCUCCUUUUUAUGGGAGGGGGAGAUGGGAAAGGGUUCCUGGUUUCUGUCAUGUCUUGUUAGUCAGAAGCAAUAUUCAAGACAGGCUAAAGUGCCCUGCCCCGUGUGAGCAUUAGAUGAAGAAAGGUGGGGAAGCCCAGAGCUUUUCCUCUAAGAGAGCACUGACCCACAUUUUUGUCUUGACCAAGUAACACAGAUGGAGAAGGGAAAACUUAAGGGGAAGAAUAGAAAACCCAAAAACCAUCCUGAAAUCUGGUAGCCUUUAUUGGAAAUUUUUUUCCAGUUGAAAGGACUGAGGCUUUCAGAAAAGCCCUGGCCAGUUUUGAUGGGUUUUUAAAGUUGAGUUGGCCAAAUGCAGCUUCAGAAUGUAGCAGUGAUGUCCUGCUUACAUAUUUGUCUUAGUGGGUUGAAGUUGAAAUAUUUAUUAUAUUAUGUUUUGAAUAUGGCAAUGUAUUCUUCUGGCCUUCUCCCCUCUCCUCUCAUUGCCAAAACACAGGGUUUCAGUUUUAUUUCUAAAUACUGCCAUGUCAAUAUAAUAAGUAAAUAAUCUUCACCCAUGCUCCUUUGUAAUUUCAUCUCCUGGUGGCUUUGCAGUGCCCUACAGUCCCAGCCCAGGAGUGUGGCAUCAUCUCCAUCCAGCAGCUCGGAGACCAGUGACUCAGAGAGCUCCGUAGACUGGGAGACCGUUUACUCAGAGAGCUCCUCCGACUCGGAGAUGGAGACCAC
This is a long non-coding RNA of Manacus vitellinus (golden-collared manakin), 1302 nucleotides long. The record is from Ensembl. NCBI's taxonomy places the organism in Eukaryota, Metazoa, Chordata, Aves, Passeriformes, Pipridae.